Molecule: non-coding RNA, 90 nt
Filed under: Burkholderia cepacia
Lineage: Bacteria; Pseudomonadati; Pseudomonadota; Betaproteobacteria; Burkholderiales; Burkholderiaceae
Source: RNAcentral
UUCUAUGGGCGGGCAGCAGUGGGGAGACCUUCGGGUCUGCCGGUUCCUUCGUUCCGGUUCGCCAACCCCGUUGUAUGCCUGCCCACCACU